RNAcentral lists this transfer RNA (80 nucleotides) under Bacteriophage sp. RNAcentral's name for it is "tRNA-OTHER". It matches the Rfam family "tRNA". From Rfam's summary of the family: Transfer RNA (tRNA) molecules are approximately 80 nucleotides in length. Their secondary structure includes four short double-helical elements and three loops (D, anti-codon, and T loops). The record is from RNAcentral.
CGCCCUUUAGUUCAAUAGAUAGAACACUCACAGAUGUAAUAUCAUGCGAGAGGUUGGUGGUUCAAAUCCACCAAGGGCCA